CAAACCGGGAGAUAGCUGGUUCUCCUCGAAAUCUAUUUAGGUAGAGCGUCUCGUGAAUACCCAUGGGGGUAGAGCACUGGAUGGGCUAGGGGGUCCCAACGACUUACCAAACCUAACCAAACUCCGAAUACCAUGGAGUACUGCGAGGCAGACACACUGCGGGUGCUAAGGUCCGUAGUGAAGAGGGAAACAGCCCUGACCGCCAGCUAAGGUCCCUAAGUUAUCACUAAGUGGGAAACGAUGUGGGAGUGCUUAGACAACCAGGAGGUUGGCUUAGAAGCAGCCACCCUUUAAAGAAAGCGUAAUAGCUCACUAGUCGAGUCGGCCUGCGCGGAAGAUAUAACGGGGCUAAACUGAUAACCGAAGCUGUGGAUGCGCAUUUAUGCGCAUGGUAGAGGAGCGUUCUGUAAGCCGUUGAAGGUGAAUCGUAAGGUUUGCUGGAGGUAUCAGAAGUGCGAAUGCUGACAUGAGUAACGAUAAGGGGGGUGAAAAACCCCCCCGCCGAAAGAUCAAGGUUUCCUGUCCAACGUUAAUCGGGACAGGGUGAGUCGGCACCUAAGGCGAGGGCGAAGGCCGUAGUCGAUGGAAAAUCGGUUAAAAUUCCGAUACCGAUUCUUACUGCGAUGGAGGGACGGAGCAGGCUAGGCUAGCACGGCGUUGGUAGUCCGUGUUUAAGCGUGUAGGUAGGGGGAUUAGGUAAAUCCGGUUCCUCGUUAAUCUGAGACGUGAUGACGAUCUCUUGGGGCAACCCUUGAGAGAAGUAGUUGAUGCCAUACUUCCAGGAAAAUCUUCUAAGCUUCAGGUAAGAAUUGACCGUACUGUAAACCGACACAGGUGAUCAGGUAGAGAAUACCAAGGCGCUUGAGAGAACUUGGGUGAAGGAACUAGGCAAAAUGGCACCGUAACUUCGGGAGAAGGUGCGCCGGUGACGGUGAUGGACCUUGCGUCCUAAGCUGUUGCCGGUCGAAGUAACCAGGCCGCUGCGACUGUUUAUUAAAAACACAGCACUCUGCAAACUCGUAA
Molecule: ribosomal RNA, 1023 nt
Filed under: Tripos fusus
Lineage: Eukaryota; Dinophyceae; Gonyaulacales; Ceratiaceae
Description: partial Bacterial large subunit ribosomal RNA
Rfam family: Bacterial large subunit ribosomal RNA
Source: RNAcentral